RNAcentral lists this long non-coding RNA (473 nucleotides) under Salmo salar (Atlantic salmon). RNAcentral describes it as "lncRNA (ENSSSAG00000085657.1, ENSSSAG00000109379.1)". Lineage: Eukaryota; Metazoa; Chordata; Actinopteri; Salmoniformes; Salmonidae. The record is from RNAcentral.
AAGAGAAGGGAAGAGAAUAGAAGGUACAGGAAGAGAAGAGAAGGGAAGAGAAUAGAAGGUACAGGAAGAGAAGAGAAGGGAAGAGAAUAGAAGGUACAGGAAGAGAAGAGAAGGGAAGAGAAUAGAAGGUACAGGAAGAGAAGAGAAGAGAAUAGAAGGUACAGGAAGAGAAGGGAAGAGAAUAGAAGGUACAGGAAGAGAAGAGAAGGUACAGGAAGAGAAGAGAAUUGAUCACAUUAUAGAACAGCCCCUCUGGACAUCCUGUUGUUUAUUUUACAACGUGAGACAGGGCUCUCUCUCUUUCCUCCUCCUGUCUCCCUCUCUCCUCUGUCCUCAACUCUCUCUCUGCCCUCCUCUUUCUCUGUCCUCCUCUCUCUCUUUCCUCCUCCUGUCUCCCUCUCUCCUCUUUGCUCACUCUCUCUGUCCUCAACUCUCUCUCUGCCCUCCUCUUUCUCUGUCCUCCUCUCUCUCUU